This 814-nucleotide ribosomal RNA is filed under the name Salmonella enterica subsp. enterica. Its description in RNAcentral is "partial 23S ribosomal RNA". It matches the Rfam family "Bacterial large subunit ribosomal RNA", at positions 711 to 1440 of the family's 2925-position model. Lineage: Bacteria; Pseudomonadati; Pseudomonadota; Gammaproteobacteria; Enterobacterales; Enterobacteriaceae. The record is from RNAcentral.
AGACCCGAAACCCGGUGAUCUAGCCAUGGGCAGGUUGAAGGUUGGGUAACACUAACUGGAGGACCGAACCGACUAAUGUUGAAAAAUUAGCGGAUGACCUGUGGCUGGGGGUGAAAGGCCAAUCAAACCGGGAGAUAGCUGGUUCUCCCCGAAAGCUAUUUAGGUAGCGCCUCGUGAAUUCAUCUCCGGGGGUAGAGCACUGUUUCGGCUAGGGGGCCAUCCCGGCUUACCAACCCGAUGCAAACUGCGAAUACCGGAGAAUGUUAUCACGGGAGACACACGGCGGGUGCUAACGUCCGUCGUGAAGAGGGAAACAACCCAGACCGCCAGCUAAGGUCCCAAAGUCAUGGUUAAGUGGGAAACGAUGUGGGAAGGCCCAGACAGCCAGGAUGUUGGCUUAGAAGCAGCCAUCAUUUAAAGAAAGCGUAAUAGCUCACUGGUCGAGUCGGCCUGCGCGGAAGAUGUAACGGGGCUAAACCAUGCACCGAAGCUGCGGCAGCGAACGUAUCACUUAAAGCGAUUCAGCGGAUGACGAUUGACGGAGCGAAGCGACGUCAAAGCGUAUACAAAGUCGAGUCGGUUUAAGGAUACGUUCGUUGGGUAGGGGAGCGUUCUGUAAGCCUGUGAAGGUGGCCUGUGAGGGUUGCUGGAGGUAUCAGAAGUGCGAAUGCUGACAUAAGUAACGAUAAAGCGGGUGAAAAGCCCGCUCGCCGGAAGACCAAGGGUUCCUGUCCAACGUUAAUCGGGGCAGGGUGAGUCGACCCCUAAGGCGAGGCCGAAAGGCGUAGUCGAUGGGAAACGGGUUAAUAUUCCC